UUUUCCAGAGUCUUCUCCCAUAGCAGGUGAUUUUUUUUAGUGAUAGCUCCCAGACAAGCUUCUAGCAUCCUGAAGGCAGAGGUGUGUGUGCUCUGCAACCAGAACACCCCCAGAGCCUGGAGGCACCUGGCCCAGCAGCUAGCACGCAGUGGGUUUUUAUGUGUAUUAGUGAAUAAAUCAACGUGGUGGCCUUUGAGUUGAGCCUUAACAGACAAAAAAAGGAGUUAAGUAGGUGGCAAAGGGGAUGGCAUAUUUAUUAAUUACUUUGCUUAAUUUAAAUUAUGGAUUUUAAUAGCUAAUAUAGUUAUAUAGUUCAAAAACCAAAGCACUAUAAGACAGAUAUUAAGAAGGCUCACUUUCAUCCUUAUCUCCAUUUAUUCCUUUCCCUAUCUCAUCAUACCCCUCUCCUGCCCACUGCGAGUUACCAUUUUUAUUGAGAUUUAUAUAUUAUUGCAGUAUAUCUUGUGCAAAUAAAACUAUAAACAAAUAUAUUAUCUUACUUUCUCCCCUUUCCUCACAAAUGCUGGUAUACUCAAAAACUGUUCUGCUCUUUUUUUUUUUUUAACUCAACAAUAUAUCCUGGAGAUAUCUCCUGACAGUACAUUGAGAAAGAUCUUUUUCUUCCUACAGCUGCACUGUACUCCAUGGUAUGCUGCUGCUGCUGCUAAGUCACUUCAGUCGUGUCCGACUCUGUGCGACCCCAUAGAUGGCAGCCCACCAGGCUCCCCCGUUCCUGGGAUUCUCCAGGCAAAACUCCAUGGUAUAGAUGCACCCUAUUGGAAAGGCAGGUUCUUUACCACUAGGACCACCUGGAAAGCCCUAUUUCAAAGACAUUAACCACCCAAGGAAAUAAGCAGUGGAGCCUCUUGGUGCAGGGAAUGUCAUGUCUGCUGGUCAUCAUCUUCUUAAAAGGAUCUCGCCUUGUGUUGAAGACACAGCAGGGGCUCAGCUCGCUGGCCAAGAAGAACUGAUUCCCACGACCUGUACUGCUGGUUACGCAGGCUGCUGCUGAGAGAUCAUUUGAGGCAGCCCUGUGCACACCAUUUCUGCCCACAGGUGUGACCCUGGCUGCUGUGAGGGUUGAGAGUGGGUGCCUUCUGUUCCAUUCUAUACUGGUUAUUUCAGAUUGUCAGAAGAACUGUACCAAUAUUCCCAAGUAAACCUGGCUUUCUCCCUUAACUAAAAUCAUUCUUAAAAUUAAAGCAGAUGAUUUUAAAGGGAAUGGCAUGUUCGAUUUUCCCCUGCAUUCCUUCCAGCCCAAGUGAUGGGCUGCAGCCUAUAAGAUAUGAAAUCUGUGAGAAGGGAAUAAGGCCAACAUGUUUAUGUUGGUGAUUACUGUUGACUUGGUUUUGCUAUUACUAUU
Molecule: long non-coding RNA, 1363 nt
Filed under: Bos grunniens (domestic yak)
Lineage: Eukaryota; Metazoa; Chordata; Mammalia; Artiodactyla; Bovidae
Description: lncRNA (ENSBGRG00000001123.1)
Source: RNAcentral